AAAGAACUUCGGUCAAGGAUGGACUCGCGGCCUAUCAGGUAGUUGGUGAGGUAACGGCUCACCAAGCCGACGACGGGUAGCCGGCCUGAGAGGGUGACCGGCCACACUGGGACUGAGACACGGCCCAGACUCCUACGGGAGGCAGCAGUGGGGAAUAUUGCACAAUGGGCGCAAGCCUGAUGCAGCAACGCCGCGUGAGGGACGACGGCCUUCGGGUUGUAAACCUCUUUUAGUAGGGAAGAAGCGAAAGUGACGGUACCUGCAGAAAAAGCACCGGCUAACUACGUGCCAGCAGCCGCGGUAAUACGUAGGGUGCAAGCGUUGUCCGGAAUUAUUGGGCGUAAAGAGCUCGUAGGCGGUUUGUCGCGUCUGCUGUGAAAACCCGAGGCUCAACCUCGGGCCUGCAGUGGGUACGGGCAGACUAGAGUGCGGUAGGGGAGAUUGGAAUUCCUGGUGUAGCGGUGGAAUGCGCAGAUAUCAGGAGGAACACCGAUGGCGAAGGCAGAUCUCUGGGCCGUAACUGACGCUGAGGAGCGAAAGCGUGGGGAGCGAACAGGAUUAGAUACCCUGGUAGUCCACGCCGUAAACGUUGGGAACUAGAUG
This 603-nucleotide ribosomal RNA is filed under the name Microcella sp. RNAcentral describes it as "bacterial SSU rRNA". It matches the Rfam family "Bacterial small subunit ribosomal RNA", at positions 202 to 822 of the family's 1533-position model. Lineage: Bacteria; Bacillati; Actinomycetota; Actinomycetes; Micrococcales; Microbacteriaceae. The record is from RNAcentral.